This 76-nucleotide small RNA is filed under the name Novosphingobium sp. PhB57. RNAcentral describes it as "suhB". The record is from RNAcentral. Lineage: Bacteria; Pseudomonadati; Pseudomonadota; Alphaproteobacteria; Sphingomonadales; Sphingomonadaceae.
GUGCAGUGCCUUUCAGGCAUCCUCUCCUAAAGACUUUCCAAGCCGGCCCUUGUGGCCGGCUUUUUUUCAGCGUUCC